CGAACGCUGGCGGCGUGCUUAACACAUGCAAGUCGAGCGGAAAGGCCCUUCGGGGUCCUCGAGCGGCGAACGGGUGAGUAACACGUGAGUAACCUGCCCCAGACUUUGGGAUAACCCUCGGAAACGGGGGCUAAUACCGGAUACGACACAGCUUCGCAUGGGGUCUGUGUGGAAAGUUUUUCGGUUUGGGAUGGGCUCGCGGCCUAUCAGCUUGUUGGUGGGGUGAUGGCCUACCAAGGCGACGACGGGUAGCCGGCCUGAGAGGGCGACCGGCCACACUGGGACUGAGACACGGCCCAGACUCCUACGGGAGGCAGCAGUGGGGAAUAUUGCACAAUGGGCGGAAGCCUGAUGCAGCGACGCCGCGUGAGGGAUGACGGCCUUCGGGUUGUAAACCUCUUUCAGCAGGGACGAAGCGUAAGUGACGGUACCUGCAGAAGAAGCGCCGGCCAACUACGUG
Molecule: ribosomal RNA, 460 nt
Filed under: uncultured bacterium
Lineage: Bacteria
Description: partial 16S ribosomal RNA
Rfam family: Bacterial small subunit ribosomal RNA
Source: RNAcentral